This 331-nucleotide long non-coding RNA is filed under the name Lathyrus oleraceus (garden pea). RNAcentral's name for it is "Pisum sativum (pea) long non-coding RNA (PSAT_LNC018001)". Lineage: Eukaryota; Viridiplantae; Streptophyta; Magnoliopsida; Fabales; Fabaceae. The record is from RNAcentral.
CCAGCAUACACACAUUCUCCGCCCCUAUAUUUCAAUUCAUCACUCUGUUCUUUUUUUUUUCAAAAUAAAAAUAAAAAUUCAAACAUGCCUUUACUUCCUUGUUCAUACAAUCCAUAUCUAUUUUGUUACUUUUCUUCUCAUAUCACAUACCGCAACCAUUAACCAUGUUUCUCUCUCAUUUUAAGGAGUCUAUACUUCAUAUCAUGGGACACAAUCAAGAAGAAGAACUUGAUAUAAAAAGGGGCAAUAUUCUUAUUCUCUUUAAACACGCUAAACACCAUUUUCAUAAAUACAUUCCUACACAUAAACCUCUCUAACAACAAAGCUCUAU